UGAGGAAUAUUGGACAAUGGGCGCAAGCCUGAUCCAGCCAUGCCGCGUGAACGAUGAAGGCCUUAGGGUUGUAAAGUUCUUUUGUCAGGGAAGAUAAUGACGGUACCUGAAGAAUAAGCACCGGCUAACUUCGUGCCAGCAGCCGCGGUAAUACGAAGGGUGCUAGCGUUGUUCGGAAUUAUUGGGCGUAAAGCGGGUGUAGGCGGACUUAUAAGUCAGGUGUGAAAUCCCAGGGCUCAACCCUGGAAGUGCACUUGAUACUGCAAGUCUUGAGUGUGGAAUUCCCGGUGUAGAGGUGAAAUUCGUAGAUAUCGGGAGGAAUACCGGUGGCGAAGGCGACACUCUGGACAGAUACUGACGCUGAGGCGCGAAAGCGUGGGGAGCAAACAGGAUUAGAUACCCUGGUAGUCCCUGAGCGGGCUGGCAAGGCGCAU
This 434-nucleotide ribosomal RNA is filed under the name uncultured bacterium. RNAcentral's name for it is "bacterial SSU rRNA". It matches the Rfam family "Bacterial small subunit ribosomal RNA", at positions 355 to 825 of the family's 1533-position model. The record is from RNAcentral.